UUUCUACUCCUUCCGUCCGGAAAUACUUAUCAUUAAAAUGAAUAAAAAGAGAUGUAUCUAGAUGUAUUUUAAUUCUAGAUAUACCUUUUUUAUUCAUUCUGAUGACAAGUAUUUCCGGACGAAGGGAGUAUUUC
Non-coding RNA from Triticum urartu, 134 nucleotides. The record is from Rfam. Lineage: Eukaryota; Viridiplantae; Streptophyta; Magnoliopsida; Poales; Poaceae.